GACCAACCUACCUAUACGAGGAGGGAACGUAACCGGACGAAGUCGGACUAAUACCGCAUAAACAGGGGCACCGCAUGGUGAUAUUUGUUAAAGAAAUUCGCUGAUAGAUGGGCAUGCGUUCCAUUAGGUAGUUGGUGAGGUAACGGCUCACCAAGCCGACGAUGGAUAGGGAACUGAGAGGUUGGUCCCCCACACUGGUACCGAGACACGGACCAGACUCCUACGGGAGGCAGCAGUGAGGAAUAUUGGUCAAUGGGCGGGAGCCUGAACCAGCCAAGUCGCGUGAAAGGAAGAAGGAUCUAUGGUUCGUAAACUUCUUUUGCAGGGGAAUAAAGUGCAGGACGUGUCCUGUUUUGUAUGUACCCUGAGAAUAAGGAUCGGCUAACUCCGUGCCAGCAGCGGC
RNAcentral lists this ribosomal RNA (403 nucleotides) under uncultured bacterium. Its description in RNAcentral is "bacterial SSU rRNA". It matches the Rfam family "Bacterial small subunit ribosomal RNA", at positions 119 to 518 of the family's 1533-position model. The record is from RNAcentral.